This 582-nucleotide long non-coding RNA is filed under the name Monodelphis domestica (gray short-tailed opossum). RNAcentral's name for it is "lncRNA (ENSMODG00000042221.1)". The record is from RNAcentral. Lineage: Eukaryota; Metazoa; Chordata; Mammalia; Didelphimorphia; Didelphidae.
AAAAUAAAAUUUCCCAAUGUUUACUAAAGAUGACUAUUUAGUUAAUAAUUCUAUAAAUCCCAUUUUUAGUGCGUGAAACGACUAUUACCCAAAAGGCAACAAACAAGUAUAAAAGGCAAAGGAACUGUUUUCCUGUCUCAGAAGAAAAUAUAGUCCUUGAAAAGUUUUCCAGACAAUGAAAAGCUCUGCCAAAGGAAUGUUGGAGGGACAGUUAUUCUCUCACCCUCAGGAAUAAUUAUCCUUAGCCUUGGCAGCAAUUUCAUGAGUCUAAGAAGUUAGGAGAGCCUUGGUUCAGAUCCUUGUUGGAAGUAGCAUCUGAAGCAGUCUCUGGGAGGAGAAAAUGACCACUGCCAGAAGGAUGAAUCUAAGCCCUGGGCUGGUUUGCCAGAAUGCAUGGACCUUGGACGAAUCCUUGGACAACAUAGAGAAAAAGCAAAGCAGGGGGAGGCUGAACAUCUUUUUCAAGAUUGCAGCUAUUGUCCCAAAAACUUUUGGAGUAACUUCUUUGGAAUUUCCUCCAGUCAGUAAAACAUUCUUUUGAAUACCUUCAACAGUAUAAGUAUUUUGCCUUUGAAGGUGGAU